RNAcentral lists this ribosomal RNA (254 nucleotides) under uncultured bacterium. RNAcentral's name for it is "partial 16S ribosomal RNA". It matches the Rfam family "Bacterial small subunit ribosomal RNA", at positions 524 to 776 of the family's 1533-position model. The record is from RNAcentral.
UACGUAGGGUGCGAGCGUUGUCCGGAAUUAUUGGGCGUAAAGAGCUCGUAGGCGGUGUGUCGCGUCGGCCGUGAAAACCUGCAGCUCAACUGUGGGCGUGCGGUCGAUACGGGCAUCACUGGAGUUCGGCAGGGGAGACUGGAAUUCCUGGUGUAGCGGUGAAAUGCGCAGAUAUCAGGAGGAACACCGGUGGCGAAGGCGGGUCUCUGGGCCGAUACUGACGCUGAGGAGCGAAAGCGUGGGGAGCGAACAGG